This 3660-nucleotide transfer RNA is filed under the name Canis lupus familiaris (dog). RNAcentral's name for it is "lncRNA (ENSCAFG00845017428.1)". The stretch from base 1708 to 1781 matches the Rfam family "tRNA". Lineage: Eukaryota; Metazoa; Chordata; Mammalia; Carnivora; Canidae. The record is from RNAcentral.
UACAAUUAACUUAUUUCAUUAGAAUAGUAAUCAGGACCAGCCCAGGUGGCUCAGCGGUUUAGCGCCACCUUCAGCCCAGGGCCUGAUCCUGGAGACCUGGGAUUGAGUCCCACAUCAGGCUCCUGCAUGGAGCCUGCUUCUCCCUCUGCCUGUGUCUCUGCCUCUCUCUCUGUGUCUCUCAUGAAUAAAUAAGUAAAAUCUUUAAAAAUAGAAUAAGAUAAAAUAGUUAUCAGAAAUGGAAUUAUUGAGUCAAAGGAUAUGGUUUUCUUCCUAAGUAACAGUGUUUAAGCCAGAUAAACAGUUCCUGUCUAAGAACUGCAGCUCUCAGCCUCCCUUCCAGCUAUGUGUGGCCGUGUUAGCAGAUUUCUACAUCUCUAGCUUAAGAAAAGAUUGCUAGUCCUAGACUUCUUUUUUCCCCCUUUAUGCAAGCUGAAACCCAGACUUGCCUGUGACCUAGCUUCAACCACACAGCUUUAACACUUAGAAAAUCGGAAAGGAAGAGAGUGGAAAGAACCAGAACCCUAAAUGACCACAGAAAGCAGAGCUGCCCCUCCAACUUAGACUACUCAUUUUUAAUCUGUUGUAUGAGACAGAAAAACUUUUUUAAAAUUCUUAGACACUUCAUUUGGUACCUCUUUGUCACAGUAUCUUAGGCUCUAACCUAACUAGUACAAAUAGUUGCAAUUUUUUAAUAUUGCAGCAUAAUUCAUAUUGCCCAAUGACUUAGCAGGAAGCCAAAAAUCAAGUGGCAUUUCCACCAAUGUGUACAAGAUUACAUUUUUUACUGCAUUCUUGUCAACGUUGAAGCUUAUUUCUUUUUUUAAAAAAUCUACUAAUUUGAUAAAGGAAAAAUAAUAUUCUAUUUUUUAGUACGAAUAAAUUAAACAUGAUUCAAUAUUCAUUAUCCAUAGGCAUUCCAUCUUUUGAGAAGUGUCUGUUCAUGUUUGUUUGUUUAAGUAACCUCUACACCUGGGGUUUCUUUUUUAAUCACUUUUAUUUUUUUAUUUUUUAAAGAUUAUUUAUUUAUUCAUUUCAGAGAGAGAAGAGGCAGAGACACAGGCAGAGGGGGGCAGGCUCCAUGCAGGGAGCCCGACAUGGGACUCGAUCCCAGGUCUCCAGGAUCACACCCCGGGCUGCAGGGAGCGCUAAACUGGUGCGCCACCGGGUCUGCCCUGCACCUGGGGCUUAAACUCACAACCCUGAGAUCGAGUUGCAUGCUUUACUGACUGAGCCAGUCAGGCACCCUUGUUCAUGUUGUUUUUAUUUUUGUUAGAAUUCUGUUACUUUUCUUGCCCAUUCUGUUGACCUUUAUAGUUUGUCUUUCAAUUCUGCAUUCAGGAAAACAUGUUGAAAUGUUGUCUUAUCAUCAAGUUUGUAAUUUUUCUAUUGAAAUUUGUUCCUUUGAAAUCUUUCUUAAUGCCCACAUUUUGAACCCUAAAUACCAUUUCCCACUAAAAAGAACUGGGACUCUUUGGGAAAAAAGCUGAUGUCAGAUCCAAAGGUAGAAAAUUUAUAAGGUAAGCUUAAGAUAUCAUUUUAUGCCAGAAAGUAAGGAAACUAUUGAAGAGCAUAGGCAUCAUGUCAAAGGACAUGGGAAUCAAUCUGGGGAGGCUCCUACAGGCCAACUUUAUCUAGGUACUGCGGCUAUACAAAAAAUGACAUCAAACUGACUCAAAACACUUAUUUUAAAAACUCAAUAAACAGGGCACCUGGCUGGCUCAGUCAGAAGAGCAUGUGACUCUUGAUCUCAGGGGUCGUGAGUUCGAGCCUCAUGUUGGGUGUAGAGAUUACCUGAAUAAAUAAAACUUAAAAAGAAACUUCAAUAAACAAAAAAAAAUAAAAACAACACUUGUUAUUCUCGUAAAUUUUCAGUAUGGGCAGAGUUCAGUGGGUCAGCUGGGGUCCACUGUACUCGGCAUCAAUUGAGCAGCUCAAAAGCUAGAGGUUGAAAUCUUCUGAAGGCUCACUCAAUCAUUCACAAGUUUGUUGCCUGACCUGGAACAGGUAAGGGAUGGAAGAAUUAGGACUCCUUAGUCAUCUCUCUAUAUCUCCAUGUUCUCUUUCCAUAUGCUUUCUCUUACCAAAUGUGGUGGCUUCAGGGUGAAUGCAUUUCACUGAAAUCACAUAUACCAAGAGUGCUGGGCAGAAACAAUGGAGAAGUGUCAACAUCACAUUAUAAGAAGAACGUGUGGGACUAAAUAUAUUAGUGUAACCUUCUUAGGUAAAUACAAUCUGUAACAGCAUCAUAAAGAUACCAUCACUGAUUAAUGCACUUAAAUAUAUAAAAAUCCUAAUAAUACUUUCACACAAAAAGAAAAAAAAAAUACAUUCACCAAGAGUUGAGAUGACAGUUAUACCAAGUCCUUAUGCAAAAAUUGGUAAAGAGAAAAGGGUUUAUGUAUUAUUUCUUUACCAUAUGGAACUCUAUUUCAGAGUUAACAAUCGGCUCCAGUUGAUGAGGGGAAGCUCUUCUUGACAUAAGAAUCCUAAUUAGUAAAUGCAAAAGGAUUGACAGAAUUGGAAAAAUCACCAUUUUGCAAUCUAUAAUGGAAUAAUCAGUUCAGUCAAGAAUCAGCAAUGAGUGCUAAAAGCAUUGAGGACAGGGGCACCUGGCUGGCUCAGUUGGUGGAAUGUGUGACUCUUGAUCUUGAGGUCGCGAGUUCAAGCCCUACAUUGGGUGUAGAGAUUACUUUAAAAAACAAAAAGCAUUGAGCAUAAGGCUGACAAAGUUGUCGACACACAGAUUAUUUACUUAUCUCAAGAGGAAAACUCAUAACUUCCCAAUGGAGCAAUGUGGCAGUUUUCACAUUAAUCAUGAAUCCAAUGAUGGAGGAUAACAUCAUAAAGACAAUGAGUCGUACACAACUCCUGAUAUGAUACAAUGUUUACAGAAUCACUCAUGAAAUAUUCUUUUUUAUUAUUAUUAUUCAUGAGAGACACAGGGAAAGAGAGAGAGAGAGGCAGAGACACAGGCAGAGGGGGGCAGGCUCCAUGCAGGGAGCCCGACCUGGGACUCAAUCCUGGGUCUCCAGGAUCAGGCCCUGGGCCAAAGGCGGCGCUAAACUGCUGAGCCCCCCAGGCUGCCCUGAAAUAUUCUUGACAAGAAUGUUUUACCUGACACCUCAUUUUAGUCACAACUUUAAUUGGAAAUGUCCAGUUUAUAGGAAAUACAGUGGAGAGUAAACUAAAAUUUCAAUGAAAGUAAUGGUAUACAUCCAGAAGUUAGAAUUCUACCAGAAUAUUGACCCAGUCUUUUCAACAAGAAAAUAUAAUGGAGCUCUGGUUCAAGAUGGAAAGAUAGGAAGAUAACGACCUCAUCCUCCUCCUGCAGACUCGCCAAAGCUAUAGCUAUAUAUAGAACAAUAUCCUCUGGAAAAAAGAAAAAAAAAAAACCUCUAUAAACUGGAAACAAGUAACCUCUGGUGAAACAACCCAGGAGUCAGGAAUAACUCAAAACAGGGGCAGCCCAGUGGCUCAGUGGUUUAGCGCCGCCUUCAGCCCAGGGCCUGAUCCUGGAGGCCCGGGAUAGAGUCCCACAUUGAGCUCUCUGCAUGGAGCCUAUUUCUCCCUCUGCCUGUGUCUCUGCCUCUCUCUCUCUCUCUCUCUCUCUCUCUGUGUGUCUCUCAUGAAUAAAUAAAUAAAAUCUAAAAAAAAAAAAAA